AGGUGUGGGGCUCAUUCCACGAGUUCCGUGCCGCAGCAAACGCAUUAAGUGCCCCGCCUGGGGAGUACGGCCGCAAGGCUAAAACUCAAAGGAAUUGACGGGGGCCCGCACAAGCGGCGGAGCAUGCGGAUUAAUUCGAUGCAACGCGAAGAACCUUACCAAGGCUUGACAUAUACCGAAAACUCAUGGAGACAUGGGGUCCGCAAGGGCGGUAUACAGGUGGUGCAUGGUUGUCGUCAGCUCGUGUCGUGAGAUGUUGGGUUAAGUCCCGCAACGAGCGCAACCCUCGUCCUAUGUUGCCAGCACGUCAUGGUGGGGACUCAUAGGAGACUGCCGGGGUCAACUCGGAGGAAGGUGGGGAUGACGUCAAAUCAUCAUGCCCCUUAUGUCUUGGGCUUCACGCAUGCUACAAUGGCCGGUACAAAGGGCUGCGAUACCGCAAGGUGGAGCGAAUCCCAAAAAGCCGGUCUCAGUUCGGAUUGGGGUCUGCAACUCGACCCCAUGAAGUCGGAGUCGCUAGUAAUCGCAGAUCAGCAACGCUGCGGUGAAUACGUUCCCGGGCCUUGUACACACCGCCCGUCAAGUCACGAAAGUCGGUAACACCCGAAGCCGGUGGCCCAACCCUUGUGGAGGGAGCCGUCGAAGGUGGGGCUG
This 654-nucleotide ribosomal RNA is filed under the name uncultured bacterium. RNAcentral describes it as "bacterial SSU rRNA". It matches the Rfam family "Bacterial small subunit ribosomal RNA", at positions 818 to 1470 of the family's 1533-position model. The record is from RNAcentral.